UCAAAUCUCGACUUAAAAAGUGAUUUUUAAUUUCUUACUGAGAAUUAGCCAAAACAAAUGUGUUCUCUUGAGCUUAAUAGCAUCAAUCAUCUUUUGAACUCAUUCAGGGGUCAUUAUUGUUUUUAACAUAAUAGUGAAUGAAGCGGAUAAUUUACUAUCUUUCUAUCAAAAAAAAUUUUAUGUAUAAAGAAUCAUAGAGAUGGAUAGGAUUAAAUAAACCAAAAUAAAAGAGUGAAAUUAUGAGUUUAUCCUUUUAAAUCUCUAAUUAGGAAAUAUAUCUCCC
RNAcentral lists this long non-coding RNA (283 nucleotides) under Ananas comosus (pineapple). RNAcentral describes it as "long non-coding RNA (ACOM_LNC029866)". Lineage: Eukaryota; Viridiplantae; Streptophyta; Magnoliopsida; Poales; Bromeliaceae. The record is from RNAcentral.